This is a non-coding RNA of Porphyromonas gulae DSM 15663, 44 nucleotides long. Lineage: Bacteria; Pseudomonadati; Bacteroidota; Bacteroidia; Bacteroidales; Porphyromonadaceae. The record is from Rfam.
GAUUGCCUAUAAACUAUCAAUCUCUCACAUAGCAAUCGCGGCUG